Molecule: non-coding RNA, 128 nt
Filed under: pig gut metagenome
Description: FMN riboswitch (RFN element)
Rfam family: FMN riboswitch aptamer (RFN element)
About the family: The RFN element is a highly conserved domain that is found frequently in the 5'-untranslated regions of prokaryotic mRNAs that encode for flavin mononucleotide (FMN) biosynthesis and transport proteins. This element is a metabolite-dependent riboswitch that directly binds FMN in the absence of proteins.
Source: RNAcentral
AUUCUUCGGGGUUGGGUGUGAUUCCCUACCGGUGGUAAUGAUGCAAACGGCAUACAAGUCCACGACCCAUGCAAAUGGCUGAUUUGGUGAGAUCCCAAAACCGACAGUAAAGUCUGGAUGAAAGAAGA